RNAcentral lists this ribosomal RNA (271 nucleotides) under uncultured bacterium. Its description in RNAcentral is "partial 16S ribosomal RNA". The record is from RNAcentral.
CUGCUGCCUCCCGUAGGAGUCUGGGCCGUGUCUCAGUCCCAGUGUGGGGGGCCUUCCUCUCAGAACCCCUACGCAUCGUCGCCACGGUGGGCCGUCACCCCGCCGUCUAGCUAAUGCGCCGCAUGCCCAUCCGCCACCGGAUCGCUCCUUUGGCCACCGGAGGAUGCCCUCCGGUGGCGUCACGGGGUAUUAGGCCGCGUUUCCGCGGGUUAUCCCCCUGUGGCGGCCAGGUUGCAUACGUGUUACUCACCCGUGCGCCGGUCGCCGGCGG